GUGAGUCAUCGAAUCUUUGAACGCACAUUGCACCCUAUGGUAUUCCGUAGGGUAUGCCUGUUCGAGCGUCAUUAUAACCCCCCUCUAGCGGAUGCUAGGACUUGGGCGGCGCCGGUCGGCGCCCCUGAAAUCUUGACAGCAGCACGGUUGUGCCCUGAGCGUAGUAAUCUCUCUCGCUAUAGGGACCGGUUGUGGCGCUGUAUAAGCCCUUCUUAAGGUUGACCUCGGAUCAGGUAGGGAUACCCGCUGAACUUAAGCAUAUCAAUAAGCGGAGGA
RNAcentral lists this unclassified non-coding RNA (276 nucleotides) under Helotiales sp. Its description in RNAcentral is "partial contains 5.8S ribosomal RNA, internal transcribed spacer 2, and large subunit ribosomal RNA". The stretch from base 1 to 71 matches the Rfam family "5.8S ribosomal RNA", at positions 84 to 154 of the family's 154-position model. Lineage: Eukaryota; Fungi; Ascomycota; Leotiomycetes; Helotiales. The record is from RNAcentral.